RNAcentral lists this ribosomal RNA (181 nucleotides) under Prevotella sp. RNAcentral describes it as "partial 16S ribosomal RNA". It matches the Rfam family "Bacterial small subunit ribosomal RNA", at positions 347 to 525 of the family's 1533-position model. The record is from RNAcentral. Lineage: Bacteria; Pseudomonadati; Bacteroidota; Bacteroidia; Bacteroidales; Prevotellaceae.
GGCAGCAGUGAGGAAUAUUGGUCAAUGGGCGCGAGCCUGAACCAGCCAAGUAGCGUGCAGGACGACGGCCCUAUGGGUUGUAAACUGCUUUUAUACGGGGAUAAAGUAUGCCACGUGUGGUUUAUUGCAGGUACCGUAUGAAUAAGGACCGGCUAAUUCCGUGCCAGCAGCCGCGGUAAUA